Long non-coding RNA from Aphis gossypii (cotton aphid), 882 nucleotides. RefSeq lists it as uncharacterized. The record is from RefSeq and is a predicted model, not a curated record. The transcript is spliced from 5 exons. Lineage: Eukaryota; Metazoa; Arthropoda; Insecta; Hemiptera; Aphididae.
AUUUUAAUCGUAGGCAUUCAAUCAAGUAGAUAUAGUAAAUGUGAUAAUUUCUAACACAUUCAAACAUUUUUAUAUUCAAAAUUGUUAAAUUUAAUUGUUAUAGUGUAUAGUUUAUCGUCGUGUAUUUAUAUUUAUAAAAUAUAAUAAAAUUAUUAGUGUAAUAGUGUAUAUACCUACUUAAUUAAAAAUAUUAAUAGUGAAUAACAAUACAUUCGAUGUUAUGGUUAAGAUGAUAAAAUCCUUAUACUUGGGACCAAAGGAUUUAUACGACAUCUGUUGGUAAUAGAGUUUUUAAGGAUGAUCUACAGAAAUUUACUUGGAUCCAGCUAUAUUUGGUAUUUGAUUGAAAUAUGUAGAAUCACAAUAAUACAGAGAAAGAACCAUAAACCACCUUGAAGGAUGGCAUGCAGCUGAAAUAUGCUAGUAUAGCACAAAAAACUACUAUCAGCCACAAAAGAUGAAAACUAAUUAUUAAGAAUUAGAAGGAAGAUUAUCAUUUGCAAAAUAAGGCUAUAACAUGGUGUGAUUUGUAUUUUGGAGUACUUGGACGCAAUAAUGUUCCAUUUUCAUUUAUGACUAUAGAAAUUUAUAUGGUUAGGUUUUUUUUUGUGUAUAGCAGAUAGUUGUCUUUAACAAUGUUUGUGAUUUAUACAAAUAAUUUAAAACAAUGAAAUUGUUUAGUAUAAUUCAUUUUGAACUAAAUAUAAUGUGUGUAUCAGAUGUCGGAUGUUGGAAAAUCGAGUGUUGAGAAAAUGGUGUGUCGGUGAAUUGACUUGUCAGUCAAUCGGUACCUACGUCAUGACUUUAGUAGUUAAUGGUUUAUCAAUGAAUUUAAAUUUAAUAUAUUCAUUAUAGUGAUCAACUCAGUGAUGAGGCACACAU